GAGCUGUAAUAACCAUUACAACUACAGUGAGCUGUGCUGGGUGUAUAAACCUGAUUGAUGGGAUUUGUCUGACAUUUGUUUAUAAGCCUGACUGAUGAAGGUGGCCAGGCAUCUUCAAACCUAACUGGUAGAUUAAGGAGGAUGACUUGCUAAACUCAGGUCUAAUUAGCUCAUAAAGAGUUAGUGGAGACACAUCGUGUCAUAACUGAUGGGGCAGCUCUGUGCGGAUCCAACUGAUGGGCCAGAUUCUCCUGAGACACUGUUCAACAGGAUUUCCACUGUUCUGUCAGAUACAACAAGAGAUACGAUACACAGCUGUCAGUGAGAGAAAAUGCAACACCGCUAAGUCUUCUCCAAGAACAUGUAACCAACUAACAACAGCCAACGCUGGGUUUGGCCAAAAGAAGACAAAAAAUGGAUUCGGAAGCCUAAGCAGGAUGUAAGAGGGGAAACAAGGGGAAAGGCAGAGGAGCAGCCCACCAAACUGAACAUAAGCAAAAGCAACAUGACUCCACAGAGCAGAGAAGCACUGGCAAUGCAAUGAGGCCCCAACAUUUGAAGAGUUCCAGAAGAGUCAGAGUAGCAACAUCAUUGAGCUUUAAAAUUCUACAAACACAGAGAAAUUAAUCAGCAUGGCUAAGCUAAACCAGACAGAGUUAACUCACAUUGACUCUGAAAUGCAGACAUUGCCUAGAAAAGUAGGUAUCCAAAUCACAGAGACUUUCAGUUGCUCUCUGUUGUGACCUUCUGGAAUUUCUGAAACAGUUCAGACUGUC
This is a long non-coding RNA of Corapipo altera (White-ruffed manakin), 776 nucleotides long. RefSeq lists it as uncharacterized. NCBI's taxonomy places the organism in Eukaryota, Metazoa, Chordata, Aves, Passeriformes, Pipridae. The transcript has 3 exons. The record is from RefSeq and is a predicted model, not a curated record.